UUGACAGUUUGGCUUCCCUGUUCUGGGUGGCAAAGCCUGUGGAGUACUCACCUACCUGCUGCAUGAAGGCAGCAUGGAGGGACUGUGGUGGAUUAUCUGCAAAGAUGGCCAAAAUUCUCUCAUCCCUGCAGGCACAUACAAGCCAGGUUUCCAGAAGUUCCCCAGUCAUUGAGCAUUUCUGAGGCUCUUGAUGCAUAUGCCAAGUAGUUAUGGAGAAAGACACAGCAGCUUACCUCUGCAGGCAUCAUUGUGUGAAAGGAAGACCCAGGCUCUCUCACCACCCUUCAACAGAAGCCUUUUGCUAAGGUGAUAGCUACAUGUCCAAGCCUAUUGCGUGGCAUGCAUUUUGCCUUCUGCAGCCCACUAAAGGUACACAAACACCAUUAGCCAAUCUGAAAAAAAAAUUGAUGUCUAACUGGUUAUUAUUUCCUAGCAAGUGUUCCGCAAGUUGGGAAAUUGAGGUAUACGGAAUGCUUAUUUGGUUUACUCAGUAUCAUCCUAAAUGUAUGUACCAAUGCUUAGGAGUUUGCAGUUCACCCGCAAACCUCAGCGAUCCAAGCUCCCCUGGAUGACCAUCACUCACCAAGAAAAGAACAAUAACAGGACCUGUUUUGCUAAUCCAGGACUGUUCUCCAGCACUAACUCUAAAUAAUCCCUUCUGCUAGAGUCCACUUUCUGGAACCUGUUGCCUCCGUUUUCAACG
This 703-nucleotide long non-coding RNA is filed under the name Pan troglodytes (chimpanzee). RNAcentral's name for it is "lincRNA". Lineage: Eukaryota; Metazoa; Chordata; Mammalia; Primates; Hominidae. The record is from RNAcentral.